AAACACUUCCUCUUUUGAAACACUUCCAUCGACCUUUAAUGUAACAUCUUUAUAAAUUGAAAGUACUGCCUCCACAUUUUGAUGAUGAGUGCGCAAACGCAACUUCACCUUCUCUUCAGUAUCAUCAAAACGUUGGGUGACCCUAGCAGCAAUUUCUUCACUCUCAGGAGGAGAAUACCUCAAGUGGUAUAUCCUUCCAGUAACAGGGUCUAACCUACGUCCAACCACCCUCUCAACAAGAAGCCCUUCAGGGACUUCUAGGAGAAUGAAAAGAUCAGGCUGGAA
RNAcentral lists this unclassified non-coding RNA (285 nucleotides) under Hevea brasiliensis (rubber tree). Lineage: Eukaryota; Viridiplantae; Streptophyta; Magnoliopsida; Malpighiales; Euphorbiaceae. The record is from RNAcentral.